GCUCAACCGGGGAGGGUCAUUGGAAACUGGGGAACUUGAGUGCAGAAGAGGAGAGUGGAAUUCCACGUGUAGCGGUGAAAUGCGUAGAGAUGUGGAGGAACACCAGUGGCGGAGGCGACUCUCUGGUCUGUAACUGACGCUGAGGCGCGAAAGCGUGGGGAGCGAACAGGAUUAGAUACCCUGGUAGUCCACGCCGUAAACGAUGAGUGCUAAGUGUUAGAGGGUUUCCGCCCUUUAGUGCUGCAGCAAACGCAUUAAGCACUCCGCCUGGGGAGUACGGUCGCAAGACUGAAACUCAAAGGAAUUGACGGGGGCCCGCACAAGCGGUGGAGCAUGUGGUUUAAUUCGAAGCAACGCGAAGAACCUUACCAGGUCUUGACAUCCUCUGACAACCCUAGAGAUAGGGCUUCCCCUUCGGGGGCAGAGUGACAGGUGUGCAUGGUUGUCGUCAGCUCGUGUCGUGAGAUGUUGGGUUAAGUCCCGCAACGAGCGCAACCCUUGAUCUUAGUUGCCAGCAUUCAGUUGGGCACUCUAAGGUGACUGCCGGUGACAAACCGGAGGAAGGUGGGGAUGACGUCAAAUCAUCAUGCCCCUUAUGACCUGGGCUACACACGUGCUACAAUGGGCAGAACAAAG
RNAcentral lists this ribosomal RNA (636 nucleotides) under uncultured bacterium. Its description in RNAcentral is "bacterial SSU rRNA". It matches the Rfam family "Bacterial small subunit ribosomal RNA", at positions 607 to 1244 of the family's 1533-position model. The record is from RNAcentral.